GUGGCAGGCGGGAUGACCGCCGUGGCGUCCGGACCCGUGGCAUCACGGGCCCGGGGUCAUGCCGCGGAGGAAAGUCCGGACUCCGCAGGGCGCGGUGGUGGGUAACGCCCACCGCCCGGUCACGGGUAGGGAUAGUGCCACAGAGAAUAGACCGCCCCGGGGACUCGGUCCUCGAGGUAAGGGUGAAACGGCGAGGUAAGAGCUCACCAGCAGGCCGGGUGACCGGCCUGGCUCGGCAAACCCCACCGGGAGCAAGACCAAAUAAGGGGGCAAUGACGUCCGAUUUUGCCAUCGGGCACGAUGGGUGUCGGCGGAUUGGCCCGAUCCGUGAUGACCCCCGGGUAGGUCGCUGGAGGUGCCGGGCAACCGGCGUCCAAGAGAAAUGGUCAUCCGGAAACACGAUCGUUUCCGUACAGAAUCCGGCUUAUUCGCCUGUCGCGAUC
Molecule: RNase P RNA, 443 nt
Filed under: Planctomycetaceae bacterium
Lineage: Bacteria; Pseudomonadati; Planctomycetota; Planctomycetia; Planctomycetales; Planctomycetaceae
Description: RNase P RNA component class A
Rfam family: Bacterial RNase P class A
About the family: Ribonuclease P (RNase P) is a ubiquitous endoribonuclease, found in archaea, bacteria and eukarya as well as chloroplasts and mitochondria. Its best characterised activity is the generation of mature 5'-ends of tRNAs by cleaving the 5'-leader elements of precursor-tRNAs.
Source: RNAcentral